RNAcentral lists this ribosomal RNA (511 nucleotides) under uncultured Alphaproteobacteria bacterium. Its description in RNAcentral is "bacterial SSU rRNA". It matches the Rfam family "Bacterial small subunit ribosomal RNA", at positions 341 to 870 of the family's 1533-position model. The record is from RNAcentral. Lineage: Bacteria; Pseudomonadati; Pseudomonadota; Alphaproteobacteria.
ACGGGAGGCAGCAGUGGGGAAUAUUGGACAAUGGGGGCAACCCUGAUCCAGCCAUGCCGCGUGAGUGACGAAGGCCUUAGGGUUGUAAAGCUCUUUCACCCGUGAAGAUGAUGACGGUAGCGGGAGAAGAAGCCCCGGCUAACUCCGUGCCAGCAGCCGCGGUAAUACGGAGGGGGCGAGCGUUGUUCGGAAUUACUGGGCGUAAAGGGCGCGUAGGCGGCUGGUUUCGUUAGGUGUGAAAGCCCCGGGCUCAACCUGGGAACUGCACUUAAUACGGGCCGGCUCGAGAGCGGGAGAGGAGUGUGGAAUUCCCAGUGUAGAGGUGAAAUUCGUAGAUAUUGGGAAGAACACCGGUGGCGAAGGCGGCACUCUGGCCCGUUUCUGACGCUGAGGCGCGAAAGCGUGGGGAGCAAACAGGAUUAGAUACCCUGGUAGUCCACGCCGUAAACGAUGUGCGCUAGCCGUUGGGCAGCAUGCUGUUCAGUGGCGCAGCUAACGCGUUAAGCGCACC